AACGAACGCUGGCGGCAGGCCUAACACAUGCAAGUCGAGCGCCCUUUCCUGGGGAGCGGCGGACGGGUGAGUAACGCGUGGGAAUAUGCCCUUCUCUACGGAAUAGCCUCGGGAAACUGAGAGUAAUACCGUAUACGCCCUACGGGGGAAAGAUUUAUCGGGGAAGGAUUAGCCCGCGUUGGAUUAGGUAGUUGGUGGGGUAAUGGCCUACCAAGCCGACGAUCCAUAGCUGGUUUGAGAGGAUGAUCAGCCACACUGGGACUGAGACACGGCCCAGACCCCUACGGGAGGCAGCAGUGGGGAAUCUUAGACAAUGGGGGCAACCCUGAUCUAGCCAUGCCGCGUGAGUGAUGAAGGCCUUAGGGUUGUAAAGCUCUUUCAGCUGGGAAGAUAAUGACGUACCAGCAGAAGAGCCCCGGA
This 420-nucleotide ribosomal RNA is filed under the name Paracoccus marinus. RNAcentral's name for it is "bacterial SSU rRNA". It matches the Rfam family "Bacterial small subunit ribosomal RNA", at positions 29 to 497 of the family's 1533-position model. Lineage: Bacteria; Pseudomonadati; Pseudomonadota; Alphaproteobacteria; Rhodobacterales; Paracoccaceae. The record is from RNAcentral.